AUACGGAGGAUGCAAGCGUUAUCCGGAUUUAUUGGGUUUAAAGGGUGCGUAGGCGGGACUGUAAGUCAGGGGUGAAAUACUGCAGCUUAACUGUAGCAUUGCCUUUGAAACUGCCGUUCUUGAGUACAGUUGAGGUAGGCGGAAUGUGGUGUGUAGCGGUGAAAUGCAUAGAUAUACCACAGAACGCCGAUUGCGAAGGCAGCGUACUAAGCUGUUACUGACGCUGAGGCACGAAAGCGUGGGGAUCAAACAGGAUUAGAUACCCUGGUAGUCCACGCUGUAAACGAUGAUUACUGGUUGUUAGCGAUAUAUAGCUAGUGACUGAGCGAAAGCAUUAAGUAAUCCACCUGGGGAGUACGUCGGCAACGAUGAAACUCAAAGGAAUUGACGGGG
This 393-nucleotide ribosomal RNA is filed under the name uncultured bacterium. RNAcentral's name for it is "partial 16S ribosomal RNA". It matches the Rfam family "Bacterial small subunit ribosomal RNA", at positions 523 to 918 of the family's 1533-position model. The record is from RNAcentral.